This 284-nucleotide long non-coding RNA is filed under the name Lathyrus oleraceus (garden pea). RNAcentral's name for it is "Pisum sativum (pea) long non-coding RNA (PSAT_LNC004825)". Lineage: Eukaryota; Viridiplantae; Streptophyta; Magnoliopsida; Fabales; Fabaceae. The record is from RNAcentral.
AAUUUUGGGGUACAACACUAUCACACCAAAACAUAAAACAAAUAUGAGGGCAUACAUUGUCUUUCAGGAAAUUUCAACACCAAAUAAAUAAUUCGCUCCCCAGUGUUACAUAUCAGAGCAUAACCAAAGCUGACAAGAAUAAACUAAAAGAAAUAGCUUUAUGAGCUAACUUCCACUCACAACAGCGUCGUCUACUCUUCAGUAUCUCCACGAUGCCCAUGUAAAGGCAACAUUCAAACAGAAGGGAUGAGAAUUCAUUUCAAUAAUAACAACAUAGAAUAUAA